CAAAGGUGAGCCAGUACAGGAUGGACCCGCGUCUGAUUAGCUAGUUGGUAAGGUAACGGCUUACCAAGGCGACGAUCAGUAGCCGACCUGAGAGGGUGAUCGGCCACAUUGGAACUGAGACACGGUCCAAACUCCUACGGGAGGCAGCAGUGGGGAAUAUUGCACAAUGGGCGAAAGCCUGAUGCAGCAACGCCGCGUGAGUGAUGAAGGCCUUCGGGUCGUAAAACUCUGUCCUCAAGGAAGAUAAUGACGGUACUUGAGGAGGAAGCCCCGGCUAACUACGUGCCAGCAGCCGCGGUAAUACGUAGGGGGCUAGCGUUAUCCGGAUUUACUGGGCGUAAAGGGUGCGUAGGCGGUCUUUCAAGUCAGGAGUGAAAGGCUACGGCUCAACCGUAGUAAGCUCUUGAAACUGGGAGGCUUGAGUGCAGGAGAGGAGAGUGGAAUUCCUAGUGUAGCGGUGAAAUGCGUAGAUAUUAGGAGGAACACCAGUUGCGAAGGCGGCUCUCUGGACUGUAACUGACGCUGAGGCACGAAAGCGUGGGGAGCAAACAGGAUUAGAUACCCUGGUAGUCCACGCUGUAAACGAUGAGUACUAGGUGUCGGGGGUUACCCCCUUCG
RNAcentral lists this ribosomal RNA (618 nucleotides) under uncultured bacterium. RNAcentral describes it as "bacterial SSU rRNA". It matches the Rfam family "Bacterial small subunit ribosomal RNA", at positions 202 to 842 of the family's 1533-position model. The record is from RNAcentral.